GGGGUUGUAGGUCAGUGGUAGAGCACUUGCCUAGCAUGCAUGAGGCACUGGGUUCAAUCCUCAGCACCA
This 69-nucleotide transfer RNA is filed under the name Urocitellus parryii (Arctic ground squirrel). RNAcentral's name for it is "Spermophilus parryii (Arctic ground squirrel) tRNA". It matches the Rfam family "tRNA". Rfam says of the family: Transfer RNA (tRNA) molecules are approximately 80 nucleotides in length. Their secondary structure includes four short double-helical elements and three loops (D, anti-codon, and T loops). Further hydrogen bonds mediate the characteristic L-shaped molecular structure. tRNAs have two regions of fundamental functional importance: the anti-codon, which is responsible for specific mRNA codon recognition, and the 3' end, to which the tRNAs corresponding amino acid is attached (by aminoacyl-tRNA synthetases). tRNAs cope with the degeneracy of the genetic code in two manners: having more than one tRNA (with a specific anti-codon) for a particular amino acid; and 'wobble' base-pairing, i.e. permitting non-standard base-pairing at the 3rd anti-codon position. RNAcentral also lists the same sequence under 1 other name. Lineage: Eukaryota; Metazoa; Chordata; Mammalia; Rodentia; Sciuridae. The record is from Rfam by way of RNAcentral.